UACGUAGGGUGCAAGCGUUAAUCGGAAUUACUGGGCGUAAAGCGUGCGCAGGCGGUUGUGCAAGACAGGUGUGAAAUCCCCGGGCUUAACCUGGGAACUGCACUUGUGACUGCACGGCUGAAGUACGGCAGAGGGGGAUGGAAUUCCGCGUGUAGCAGUGAAAUGCGUAGAUAUGCGGAGGAACACCGAUGGCGAAGGCAGUCCCCUGGGCCUGUACUGACGCUCAUGCACGAAAGCGUGGGGAGCAAACAGG
This 253-nucleotide ribosomal RNA is filed under the name uncultured bacterium. Its description in RNAcentral is "partial 16S ribosomal RNA". It matches the Rfam family "Bacterial small subunit ribosomal RNA", at positions 524 to 776 of the family's 1533-position model. The record is from RNAcentral.